RNAcentral lists this ribosomal RNA (1329 nucleotides) under Arthrobacter sp. Its description in RNAcentral is "bacterial SSU rRNA". It matches the Rfam family "Bacterial small subunit ribosomal RNA", at positions 91 to 1430 of the family's 1533-position model. Lineage: Bacteria; Bacillati; Actinomycetota; Actinomycetes; Micrococcales; Micrococcaceae. The record is from RNAcentral.
AUUAGUGGCGAACGGGUGAGUAACACGUGAGUAACCUGCCCUUAACUCUGGGAUAAGCCUGGGAAACUGGGUCUAAUACCGGAUAUGACUCCUCAUCGCAUGGUGGGGGGUGGAAAGCUUUAUUGUGGUUUUGGAUGGACUCGCGGCCUAUCAGCUUGUUGGUGAGGUAAUGGCUCACCAAGGCGACGACGGGUAGCCGGCCUGAGAGGGUGACCGGCCACACUGGGACUGAGACACGGCCCAGACUCCUACGGGAGGCAGCAGUGGGGAAUAUUGCACAAUGGGCGAAAGCCUGAUGCAGCGACGCCGCGUGAGGGAUGACGGCCUUCGGGUUGUAAACCUCUUUCAGUAGGGAAGAAGCGAAAGUGACGGUACCUGCAGAAGAAGCGCCGGCUAACUACGUGCCAGCAGCCGCGGUAAUACGUAGGGCGCAAGCGUUAUCCGGAAUUAUUGGGCGUAAAGAGCUCGUAGGCGGUUUGUCGCGUCUGCCGUGAAAGUCCGGGGCUCAACUCCGGAUCUGCGGUGGGUACGGGCAGACUAGAGUGAUGUAGGGGAGACUGGAAUUCCUGGUGUAGCGGUGAAAUGCGCAGAUAUCAGGAGGAACACCGAUGGCGAAGGCAGGUCUCUGGGCAUUAACUGACGCUGAGGAGCGAAAGCAUGGGGAGCGAACAGGAUUAGAUACCCUGGUAGUCCAUGCCGUAAACGUUGGGCACUAGGUGUGGGGGACAUUCCACGUUUUCCGCGCCGUAGCUAACGCAUUAAGUGCCCCGCCUGGGGAGUACGGCCGCAAGGCUAAAACUCAAAGGAAUUGACGGGGGCCCGCACAAGCGGCGGAGCAUGCGGAUUAAUUCGAUGCAACGCGAAGAACCUUACCAAGGCUUGACAUGAACCGGAAAUACCUGGAAACAGGUGCCCCGCUUGCGGUCGGUUUACAGGUGGUGCAUGGUUGUCGUCAGCUCGUGUCGUGAGAUGUUGGGUUAAGUCCCGCAACGAGCGCAACCCUCGUUCUAUGUUGCCAGCGCGUUAUGGCGGGGACUCAUAGGAGACUGCCGGGGUCAACUCGGAGGAAGGUGGGGACGACGUCAAAUCAUCAUGCCCCUUAUGUCUUGGGCUUCACGCAUGCUACAAUGGCCGGUACAAAGGGUUGCGAUACUGUGAGGUGGAGCUAAUCCCAAAAAGCCGGUCUCAGUUCGGAUUGGGGUCUGCAACUCGACCCCAUGAAGUCGGAGUCGCUAGUAAUCGCAGAUCAGCAACGCUGCGGUGAAUACGUUCCCGGGCCUUGUACACACCGCCCGUCAAGUCACGAAAGUUGGUAACACCCGAAGCCGG